CGUCUAUAUACGUAUAGCAUAUCAAUAAGCGGAGGAAAAGAAACUAACAAGGAUUCCCUUAGUAACGGCGAGUGAAGCGGGAAGAGCUCAAAUUUGAAAUCUUCAAGGUUCUACCUUGACGAAUUGUAGUUUAAAGAAGUGUUUUCUGUUGAAGUUUGGUCAAAAGUUCUUUGGAAUAGGACAUCAUAGAGGGUGAGAAUCCCGUAUUUGUACCAUUCUCCUAGCUGUUGUGAUACACUUUCAACGAGUCGGAUUGUUUGGGAAUGCAGUCCAAAAUGGGUGGUAAAUUUCAUCUAAAGCUAAAUAUUGGCGAGAGACCGAUAGCGAACAAGUACCGUGAGGGAAAGAUGAAAAGAACUUUGAAAAGAGAGUUAAACAGUACGUGAAAUUGUCAAAAGGGAAGCGUUUGACACCAGUGUUGUUUUUCCGAAAAUCAAUUACGAAUGUUUUAUUUUUGAGGAGUUAUGACUUCAUCGGCUUGCUCCUUUCUUUAUGAAACUUUCUUAAUGCACCUUUUCGGUUAACAAGUCAACAUCAAUUUCUUUUGUUGUAAAAGGGUAUGAGGAAGGUGGCUUUCUUUUCGGAGAAAGUGUUUAUAGCCUUGUAGCCUCUGCAAUCGGAGAGAUUGAGGUCUGCAGCGUAGAUCCUUCGGGGUUAGAUACAUUUGUGCUAAGUUAUAGCUUUUCAUAGACAACUUGUUGACUAUGUUUAGUCUUGUAGCUUACUCGCUUACUGCUAUUUUACCUACGCUUAGGAUGUUGAUAUGCAUGACUGAUAU
RNAcentral lists this ribosomal RNA (778 nucleotides) under uncultured Neocallimastigales. Its description in RNAcentral is "partial large subunit ribosomal RNA". It matches the Rfam family "Eukaryotic large subunit ribosomal RNA", at positions 26 to 643 of the family's 3401-position model. Lineage: Eukaryota; Fungi; Neocallimastigomycota; Neocallimastigomycetes; Neocallimastigales. The record is from RNAcentral.